GCGACGUGAUGAUAGAAUUCAUUGGUCUGUCAAUCCACUGAAACUAAGUGUGAUGUUUAUCAUGAAUCCCGACAGGUUCUGAUCGC
Small nucleolar RNA from Malania oleifera, 86 nucleotides. RefSeq annotates it as small nucleolar RNA snoR14. NCBI's taxonomy places the organism in Eukaryota, Viridiplantae, Streptophyta, Magnoliopsida, Santalales, Ximeniaceae. The record is from RefSeq and is a predicted model, not a curated record. The transcript has a single exon.